AUUGAACGCUGGCGGCAUGCUUUACACAUGCAAGUCGAACGGUAACAGGCCUUCGGGUGAUGACGAGUGGCGAACGGGUGAGUAAUGCAUCGGAACGUACCCAGAGGUGGGGGAUAACGCAGCGAAAGCUGUGCUAAUACCGCAUGUGAUCUGAGGAUGAAAGCGGGGGACCGAGCAGCAAUGUUUGGCCUCGCGCCUUUGGAGCGGCCGAUGUCGGAUUAGCUAGUUGGUGGGGUAAAGGCCUACCAAGGCGACGAUCCGUAGCUGGUCUGAGAGGACGACCAGCCACACUGGGACUGAGACACGGCCCAGACUCCUACGGGAGGCAGCAGUGGGGAAUUUUGGACAAUGGGCGCAAGCCUGAUCCAGCAAUGCCGCGUGCGGGAAGAAGGCCUUCGGGUUGUAAACCGCUUUUGGCAGGAACGAAACGGUGUCCGCUAAUACCGGGCGCUAAUGACGGUACCUGCAGAAUAAGCACCGGCUAACUACGUG
RNAcentral lists this ribosomal RNA (492 nucleotides) under uncultured bacterium. RNAcentral describes it as "partial 16S ribosomal RNA". It matches the Rfam family "Bacterial small subunit ribosomal RNA", at positions 29 to 507 of the family's 1533-position model. The record is from RNAcentral.